CUUCGGCCGUCCGAGUUGUAAUCUGGAGAAGCGUUUUCCGCGCUGGACCGUGUACAAGUCUCUUGGAACAGAGCGUCAUAGAGGGUGAGAAUCCCGUCUUUGACACGGACUACCAGUGCUAUGUGAUGCGCUCUCGAUGAGUCGAGUUGUUUGGGAAUGCAGCUCAAAAUGGGUGGUAAAUUCCAUCUAAAGCUAAAUAUUGGCGAGAGACCGAUAGCGAACAAGUACCGUGAGGGAAAGAUGAAAAGCACUUUGGAAAGAGAGUUAAACAGUACGUGAAAUUGCUGAAAGGGAAACGAUUGAAGUCAGUCGCGUGUGCUAGAACUCAGCCUUGCUUUUGCUUGGUGCAUUUUCUAGUGUACGGGCCAGCAUCAGUUUUGGCCGCCGGAAAAAGGCCUUGGGAAUGUGGCACCUUCGGGUGUGUUAUAGCCCUUGGUUGUAUACGGUGGCUGGGACUGAGGAACAUAGCAUGCCUUUACGGCGGGGCUUCGGCCACCUUCAUGCUUUGGAUGCUGGCGUAAUGGCUUUAAACGACCCGUCUUGAAACACGGACCAAGGAGUCUAACAUGCCUGCGAGUGUUUGGGUGGAAAACCCGAGCGCGUAAUGAAAGUGAAAGUUGGGACUUCUGUCGUGGAAGGCACCGACGCCCGGACCAGACCUUCUGUGACGGAUCCGCGGUAGAGCAUGUAUGUUGGGACCCGAAAGAUGGUGAA
This 714-nucleotide ribosomal RNA is filed under the name Ceriporia inflata. RNAcentral's name for it is "partial large subunit ribosomal RNA". It matches the Rfam family "Eukaryotic large subunit ribosomal RNA", at positions 128 to 830 of the family's 3401-position model. Lineage: Eukaryota; Fungi; Basidiomycota; Agaricomycetes; Polyporales; Irpicaceae. The record is from RNAcentral.